UUGAAAAAUAAUAUAUAAUCUCAUUGGUGAAGAAAUAAAAGUAAAAUUUAAAUUUAUAAACAACACCAAAUUUAUAAACAUCACCAUCUAUAUCUAUAACCUCUAUAGUUCCGUUCGUGCAUGCUGUUUUUUUUCUUCUUCCAGACCAAUAUUAUCGGACGACGUUUUCACAGAAGAUUGAAGAGUAAUGUUUUCUUCACUACAUGAUACAGAUUUCCCAAACAAGAAAAAUUCCUUGUCAACAUCUUCCAUUUGCAAUGCCUAAAAAAUUAUGCGUCAUUAGGUUUUACAAAAAAAAUUGGGGGAAGAAAUGAUGAUGUAAAGGAAGAGAUAUCUAACAAGAUAACAAGAAGAAAGAUCGACUGCAAAGCACCACUGGAACAAGGUAGCAAUAUAAAAAUUACCUUCGUAUUCUUCCGUCAACUUCGGCAAUGAAAAAAACUGUUCCGACCGGCCACUGCCGAUAUGUAGUAGAAGAUUAGAAACACCAACAAUAAAUGUAGAUUAAAAUCCGAUGUGACAAGUCCUAUUAUAUAUAUUUUUUCAGUCCAAUAACUCUUUACGAAAAUUACGAAAUCAGACCAACAAUUAACUUAUAUGUAAGAUAAUUACAAUUUGAAUAAAGGGGAGGAACAAGGCAAACACUAAAGGAAGUUCAAUAUGACAGGAGAGAUUGCAGUAUAGUGAUAGAUAAGUCCACUGGAAUAAGGUUGAAGAAGUUCAAAUCGAGUGAAAAUAAAAGCGGUAGAAUUAGAUUAGUAAAAGAGGGAAAACGAGUGAAAAUAAAAUCGUAUUGGAUGAAGGUGGAACUCGAUCAGUGUUUGACAACGUUUUGAACAAACGUCGGGUCGGGAACUCUAUGCAGAAAUAUACUUGAACUCUAUAAAUGCUUUACCACAUUCUCUCGGUGAUUUAUUUUAAGGGUAAUCUAGUCAUUAAGACAGUAACCGUCUAACUGCCUUGCAAACCCAAAUCUGACACCAGUUCGACUUCCUGAGAUCGACUUUUCAGAUCGACUUUUUUAAGUCGACCUUCUCUAAAAUCACAUGCAUCCAUCCAUUGGUAACCCUAACCCUAACUUUCUCUAAAAUCACAACCAUCCAUCCAUUGGUAACCCCAUUGAAAAAGAGAUAUAUACUUACCAGUAAACCAUGUUAUUACUCCUUUAUCAAGGAUAUUGUUCCAAUCACUAAACACAUCUAAUGCUUUUGUUUUAUCUAAACCUGUAAAUGGUAUAUCGGAUCCGGAUUCGGAUAUCAAAAAUGAUAUCCGAAAAUUAUCCGUACGGAUUCGGAUAUCUGCAAAAUCCG
RNAcentral lists this long non-coding RNA (1310 nucleotides) under Zostera marina. RNAcentral's name for it is "long non-coding RNA (ZMAR_LNC005338)". The record is from RNAcentral. Lineage: Eukaryota; Viridiplantae; Streptophyta; Magnoliopsida; Alismatales; Zosteraceae.